This 495-nucleotide ribosomal RNA is filed under the name uncultured bacterium. RNAcentral's name for it is "bacterial SSU rRNA". It matches the Rfam family "Bacterial small subunit ribosomal RNA", at positions 903 to 1397 of the family's 1533-position model. The record is from RNAcentral.
AAAUGAAUAGACGGGGGCCCGCACAAGCGGUGGAGCAUGUGGUUUAAUUCGAAGCAACGCGAAGAACCUUACCAAGGCUUGACAUGGAGACGAUCGCGUUAGAGAUAACGUUUCCCUUCGGGGCGUCUCACACAGGUGGUGCAUGGUUGUCGUCAGCUCGUGUCGUGAGAUGUUGGGUUAAGUCCCGCAACGAGCGCAACCCUUAUGUUUAGUAGCCAUCGGGUUAAGCCGGGCACACUAGAGAGACUGCCGUGGAUAACACGGAGGAAGGUGGGGACGACGUCAAAUCAUCAUGCCCCUUAUGUCUUGGGCUACACACGUGCUACAAUGGCUGAUACAAAGUGAAGCGACCCCGCGAGGGUAAGCCAACCACAAAAAAACAGCCCCAGUUCGGAUUGCAGGCUGCAACCCGCCUGCAUGAAGUUGGAAUCGCUAGUAAUCGCGAAUCAGAAUGUCGCGGUGAAUACGUUCCCGGGCCUUGUACACACCGCCCGU